GACGAACGCUGGCGGCGCGCUUAACACAUGCAAGUCGAGCGAAGCGGCGGACGGGUGAGUAACACGUGAGUAACCUGCCUUAGACAUUGGGAUAGCCUCGGGAAACCGGGAUUAAUACCAAAUGGUCUAAGAUGGACUCGCGUCCCAUUAGCUAGUUGGUGGGUAACGGCCCACCAAGGCGACGAUGGGUAGCCGGCCUGAGAGGCUGAACGGCCACAUUGGAACUGAGAAACGGUCCAAACUCUACGGAAGGCAGCAGUGGGGGAUAUUGCACAAUGGGGGGAAGUCUGAUGCAGCGACGCCGCGUGACCAAAGACUGCUUUCGGGUCGUAAAGUUCUUUUAUAUGGGAAGCGGUACCAUAAGAAAAAACCCCGGCUAACUACGUGCCAGCCGCCGCGGUAAUAC
RNAcentral lists this ribosomal RNA (406 nucleotides) under uncultured bacterium. Its description in RNAcentral is "partial 16S ribosomal RNA". It matches the Rfam family "Bacterial small subunit ribosomal RNA", at positions 28 to 526 of the family's 1533-position model. The record is from RNAcentral.